This 72-nucleotide transfer RNA is filed under the name Toxocara canis (dog roundworm). It matches the Rfam family "tRNA". From Rfam's summary of the family: Transfer RNA (tRNA) molecules are approximately 80 nucleotides in length. Their secondary structure includes four short double-helical elements and three loops (D, anti-codon, and T loops). Further hydrogen bonds mediate the characteristic L-shaped molecular structure. tRNAs have two regions of fundamental functional importance: the anti-codon, which is responsible for specific mRNA codon recognition, and the 3' end, to which the tRNAs corresponding amino acid is attached (by aminoacyl-tRNA synthetases). tRNAs cope with the degeneracy of the genetic code in two manners: having more than one tRNA (with a specific anti-codon) for a particular amino acid; and 'wobble' base-pairing, i.e. permitting non-standard base-pairing at the 3rd anti-codon position. The record is from Rfam by way of RNAcentral. Lineage: Eukaryota; Metazoa; Nematoda; Chromadorea; Rhabditida; Toxocaridae.
GCGGCAGUAGCUCAGUGGUAGAGCCACCGCUUCGCAUGCGAGGAGAUCUGGGUUCGAUUCCAGGCUGCUACC